CCCUUCCUCCGUCCCUGCAGCCCGACGAGCCAGCCGUGAGAUAUCCUGGUCUCCAGCUACCUCAGGCCCUCCUCGCCACCGUCCAGGGAGCGCCGCAUAGAUUCCACACCCACGGGAGCCAGUAGUCCCAUGGCAAGGAGGAUAGUCUAGGACUGAAUCUGAUUCUAUGAGAAGUGUCAUCCCUCUCUUUGGACUAUUAUGAUGCCCUGUAAGUACUCAUCUCAUCUAAUCUGUUUGCAGGUUCCUGCGUUUGACUGAUGAGCUCGCAAACUGAACAGGGGAUAACAAGAAUGAGAUCAACCAACUGAUCCCAAGAGCGAGGGAGCGAGAUUAAAGACGUUUUAGGCUUUGUUGCCCGUUGCCUGACUACGGUUCGUAUGCCGAUUACUUUUGACUUACACCAUGUACAUACUACCCCUUCUUGAUGAACAAAAAGCCAAUCUUGAAUUUUCGUCACAAAAAUGCCAAUUCAUAAUAGAAGGAUCAAACAUAUGCUUCUGCCCAGAAUUUGAAAUCAUUGGCUCAGUGAACUGCAGUCCUUUCAAUAACUAUUUAUGAUUGUACCAUACCUAUUAUCAUUUUCAUUGUACUACUUUGGAGCAAAAUUCAAGUUAAUUUUCGGACAAGGAUUUGUUUCUGUUAGUAGGUGGGGUGUCUCUUCACUCUCUUGAGUUGGAGCAUCUGAGGUUAUCCUGUUACCGGAAUUGCUAUGUGUUUGAUUGCUUCUUCUAUAUGAUUCCUUUAGAUGAACUGAUAAUUCACAUCAAUGCGUAGAACAAAUUCCAGUUAUUAAUUACAUCGCUAUGUUUUACCGGUUUCUCCGUUGGGGGUUUCUCAUACUUUAGCUUGUUUUACUAAUUGACGAAUGUUUGUUGUGUCUGCGGUUGCUCUGUUUAUUUUGUUGUCAUCUUUGUUGGUAGUUGAUUUCUCAACAUGCUAUCUUCAUUAUGAGAUUUCCUUUCAUCUUGUGUAUACCAAUAUUGCAAAGCUAUGCCUAGAAUUUUCUGAUGUGUACACAGGUAUGAUGCCUAUAAUAGGAGGCUCUAGUUUAAUUAUCUAGUUAAUCAGCAAGGAAAAGAGUUCUGUUAUCUUUACAUUGUAGUUCCAUUUGAUUAUUGUUGAUUGACGUUUUGGAUAUGCAGGAUCUUAUCGGAUUUCGAGAACGGGACCGUUGGUUGUGAGUCUUAUUGGAAAGGUAUCAGUAUGACUGGAUCAAGCAUUCAUAAAUGUUACUGUAUUUAAAAUUCUAGUCAUGCGCUGCUAGUGUAAAAAAUUGGUACUCUGUUAUAUGGGUUCUUGUAUAUUAUUACAUCCCUUAAUAUUCAUGCGAAGAAAAACAAUAUGUAAUCUCCAACCAAGUGUGUAUGGGGACCCGAUGAUGUCACGGAACUAUGCUAUAUUGACUGCUCUAGCAUCUCAAAUGGACGACUUGACACAGGACUGAUGAUGUUAUGCUUGACUAUGUCGUAGUAUUUCUUACAAGAUCUUUUUUUUCUUAAUGUCAGGAUAAUCAAAGGGUACAAGAGGCUGCUUUGAAGCUGUCAGGUAGCUUUGAAGGACAAUUUUCCCAGGUUGACGGUUGCAAAUAGGCUGUCAAAGUCUACACACCUCCAUAUUCCUCCCACAUUCUUUCUGCUCGAAGUUCUGAAAUUGUGCAGAUCUAACUGUGCAAUGCGGUGCUCAGAUGCCUUAAACCACCCAGCUACCACUCUGAAGCCCCAGAAAUUGUUUAGGAAACAUACAAAUUUUGUAUUUAGACCCAUUUAGAAAUGAAUUGACAAGUGCAGAUGCUGAGGGCUUCGGCUAGUAACAACUUAACAUGGGUAGCUUUGCCGGCUAUUUUGACUGGGCUAAGAAACACUGUUAUUUUGUGGAAAAUUAAUUGAAGUUGAUUAUAGCACGGCUUUCUUAUUUGAUCCAAGUGUGCAAUGCUUGAUUUGUUUUUUCCUUUCCGCGGUAAUGCUUGAUUUGCUGACGUUUCUGAUGUAUCUUUUCUUUUUUGAAUCUGCCAGCCCGUUAAUUCCUUGUUUUAUGAUUGUGUCAGCGACAACUUACAGCUAAAAUAAAUAGGUAUUCCCUCUAUCCCAAUAUUAUGUACUUCUGUAAUUUUCAUGGAGCUAUGAAAAAUAAUACAAAUAUCUUCGCCUCUUAGGACUGGCUGACUUUGUUGAUGUUGGUCACACAUGUGCUGUCUAGCUGUUUAUAGAGCACCUGAUUUUAUCAUUAGAUUUAGUGGUCUCUUUUCUACAGUUCUUCCAGCAACUGGUUGUAUAUGAACUGAUACUGUGAUACUCUAUUCUCCUUUCUGUAAUGAUGAUGCUGUAAUUUUAAAUUCAGCUAGUUUCUUGUAUCUUGCCUUACAUGAGGAAUCAUCAAUAUCUGAUCUUUAUCUUGUUUAAUCUAGGUAGCAGCCUCUGUAUCACUGCAAUCUGACAAAGUGGAGGGCCUAGAAGGUGAAGCUUCUUUUAUGUCUGAACAAGCAUCGGUUUUUAAUUAACAGUAAUCCAUGAUCAGCAACAGUUUCUUUCACUAAUUUUCAGUUAACAGCAAUCCAUGAUAUUUUUUCACCAUGAUCAGCAGCAGUUUUUGUAUUAAAAUGAAUGUAUUCCAUGAAUUUUAAGUUAACAACUGAAUUUACUCCUUUAUUGGCAUUGUCAUGAUUCAGUUAACACUAAAUCAACUUCAUUAAUUUUCAGGUACAGUAUUCUGACGGAGUACCUUCUUCAUAGUGCAGAGGAGCAAAAUUGUUCUAAUCAGCAGCAGCACAGCACAGUCACUUGGAUCAGCGGAAGAGGAGAAUCAGCAGCACGGGCAGAGGAGCAGCAUCAGCUAGUUCUUCAGGUACAAUGGAAAGCAAGCAAGCUUAUAUCUGAAAAAUGAGUUAGCUAGGCUCAGAAUUUUGAG
RNAcentral lists this long non-coding RNA (2904 nucleotides) under Hordeum vulgare. Its description in RNAcentral is "long non-coding RNA (HVUL_LNC014730)". Lineage: Eukaryota; Viridiplantae; Streptophyta; Magnoliopsida; Poales; Poaceae. The record is from RNAcentral.